RNAcentral lists this long non-coding RNA (319 nucleotides) under Mytilus galloprovincialis (Mediterranean mussel). The record is from RNAcentral. Lineage: Eukaryota; Metazoa; Mollusca; Bivalvia; Mytilida; Mytilidae.
CUUGAAUAUUAUUAUAGAUAGAGAUAAACUGUAAACAGCAAUAAUGUACAGCAAAGUAAGAACUAAAAAUAAGUCAGUAUGACCAAAAUAGUCAAUUGACCCCCUAAGGAGUUAUUGCCCUUCAUAGUCAAUUUUUAACAAUUUUCUUAAAAUUUGAAGAUUUUCAAAUAAUUUUCCACAGAAAGUACUGUUAUAGAUAGAGAUAAUUGUAAGCAGCAAGAAUGUUUAGUAAAGUAAGAUCUACAAACACAUCACCAUCACCAAAACACAAUUUUGUCAUGAAUCCAUCUGUGUCCAUUGUUUAAUAUUCACAUAGACC